CGGUCCUACUCUUCAGUCUCAUCUCGCUGGAAUAGUGUUGUCAUGUGUGAAGAUCUACACGAAAUUGAGACUUCUGGCACAGUGGCCUGCACUGUUCGAAGUCUGUAAGAUCAGUGCUGAAUUCAAAAGAAUCACCACAGUUCCCCUGCAAUCCAAGCAACUGUUGCUGAAUUGGCUGAUUUGUACAAGAUGCACCAUUUCUGAGGACUUCUGGCACAGUGGCCUGCACUGUUCAAAGUUCGCAAGGUAAGACAUUCAAUUCGGAUUGUCUUUAAUGUUUUUAUUUGUGAAUUACAGCGUUUUAUCUCCUUUCUUGAAUGUGUGUGUGGCUUUCUCCUAAUGUUAAUGAUUUGAUUGUUAAAUCCUUUGGGCUCUUUAUGUCUUUUCAGAUCAGUGCUGAAUUGAAAAGAAUCACCACAGUCCCACUGCAAUUGCCUGCACUGUUCGAAGUCCACAAGGUAAAGCAUUCACUUUGGCCACAACCCUACCCAGUGCACCUUAACAACUUGACUCCUGCUUUAAAUUAGCUGUUACCUGAAUGGGGGUGACUAAAUAUUCCAGUGGUAUAAGGAGCUGCUUCUCGAAUUUUUAUAUUUAAAUUUUGUCGUACUCUGACCAGUGAAUAUUAGAUUAUUGCUUAGUACUAGAAUUGGAGUUAUCUGAGACAAGAUGAUCUGAUCUGAGAAGUGUUGAUGACUACCUCCCUGGUGUUCCCACGCUCAGUGUGGAGUGUGACACUAGUUUGUAUGCAUUGUGCUAUGCUCAACAUGACAUUGAGAGGCUUCAGUUGAAAGUGAGCAAGCUAUCCCACGGUUUCCUUAUUUCAAUACACUUGCUACACAA
This is a long non-coding RNA of Engraulis encrasicolus (European anchovy), 843 nucleotides long. RefSeq lists it as uncharacterized. The record is from RefSeq and is a predicted model, not a curated record. The transcript is spliced from 4 exons. Lineage: Eukaryota; Metazoa; Chordata; Actinopteri; Clupeiformes; Engraulidae.